Molecule: non-coding RNA, 253 nt
Filed under: uncultured bacterium
Lineage: Bacteria
Also listed under: 1 other name
Description: partial 16S ribosomal RNA
Rfam family: Bacterial small subunit ribosomal RNA
Source: RNAcentral
UACGUAGGGUGCGAGCGUUAAUCGGAAUUACUGGGCGUAAAGCGUGCGCAGGCGGCUUUGCAAGACAGAUGUGAAAUCCCCGGGCUCAACCUGGGAACUGCAUUUGUGACUGCAAGGCUGGAGUACGGCAGAGGGGGAUGGAAUUCCGCGUGUAGCAGUGAAAUGCGUAGAUAUGCGGAGGAACACCGAUGGCGAAGGCAAUCCCCUGGGCCUGUACUGACGCUCAUGCACGAAAGCGUGGGGAGCAAACAGG